GCCACUAGAGUUCCUCCGACCCAAUGGCCCAUAUGACCUAUUGACCAUAUCACCAUAUGUAAUGUAGCAUGUAGGAGUCCAAAAAAUACAAGCAAAAGUGUUCCUCUGGUUUGUUAAAAAAAAAUAGAGAAUUUUUUCAAGAGAGAGAGAACAGGGAGAAAUGGGUGUAGCAAGCAGGGUGGGAGACUGGGCGUUCAAGGGUUUUACGGCGACACUGGGAUUGGCAACCAUCUAUCUCACCACCACUUUUUCCCUCAAUGUCUACAAAGGUCUUGCAUGGCAUAAUGCUCAAUCGAAAUUGAAGGAGGAAGAGCAGCAGGAAGAUCAGAAAACCGUGGCCUGAAUUUUGUAGUUUGCGGUCAUAUACUAAAUAAAAGACCCUUUUUUGGUUUAGUUUUUCAUAAAGAAUACUCUGUACACGUUAGACAAGUACCAUAUUUGAACAUGAUUACAUGUUCAAAUAUAGGAUUUUGAAACAGUAGUUCAGAAAUUUACGGUAUGCUUCUGGUAAGCCUUGAUCGUGUGGAUUUAGCGUCGUCAACUUACACAAUCCGAAUUCACUUGUAAUUGUAUUGCCUUAACGGUUUGUUAUUUACAUUCAUUCACAGCAUUCA
This is a long non-coding RNA of Spinacia oleracea (spinach), 614 nucleotides long. RefSeq lists it as uncharacterized. The record is from RefSeq and is a predicted model, not a curated record. The transcript is spliced from 2 exons. Lineage: Eukaryota; Viridiplantae; Streptophyta; Magnoliopsida; Caryophyllales; Amaranthaceae.